UUCAUGUUUCAUGACAAACUCUCUCCUUAAUAAAGGUAAGUGCCAGGUUCAAGUAGAAAAAAAAAGUAUGAUUAUAAAAUGUGUGGUGUGCAACUCACAAGCAAGUGUUGCGGGCAUUGGUUUAAAAAUUUCAUGAAACCUCAAAUUCUCACAGCUGUGCAUUGAUGCAGUAUAUAAAGUGAAAAGCAAGUUGGCCUUUAUAAAUUCAUCUUUAGUUUAAUUAACUUUUCAUUCAUGAAUAUAAAUGUAAUACUACCAAUAGCUUAGUCAGACCCCACUUGGAUUAUGUGGUAAGUUUUGGUCUCCCCAUCAUAUGGACAUUGCUAAACUAGAAGAUGGUCAACAUAAGAGCAACAAAGAUGAUCUUCUUGCACAACAAGCCUUACAAGGACAGGCUUUUAUCUCUCAACAUGUUUUCUCUUGAGAAACAUUGGCUCCGAGGAAAACUGAUCAAAUGUUUCUUAUGAAUGUGCACAAAUCCAAAUAUCAAUGAUCAAUGACAGUGGCACAAAACUUAAGUUUAAACAAAUUAAUUUGGACUGAACCAAAUUCCUCUUCACCAAAGUUAUAGUGCAAGAAUGGAAAAAAAUUCCAUCUUUAGCAGUCCAGUGCAACACAGCUGACUCAUUUAAAGCAAACACAACCACCACCUCCUUCCCUUAAUAUUCAGUAAGGUAAAAAUGCAGUCUUGGUGGCCAAUUGAUGCUGAAAUCUCACAAAGGUUUAAGGACUGACCAUCUAGUCCACACCACAGGGUUUGUGUGGUCUGAAUAUCUAUGUAAAUCUCUCUCUCUCUCUCUCUCUCUCUCCAGCUAGAGCUUUUUUUUUUAACUCAGACUAUAGCACCAGUAGACUUUCUUAGUGAGGCCUGGUGGUUGGCCCCAGCCCAUAAUGGCACAGGAAAGUGUUUUAUAGAGGUGCCAUCCAGCUUGGUUCAUGCUGCCCCACAGCGCUCAUCUUUGAUGCUCUUUAGAGUUUAUCUACAGUCCGGGUUGAUAGGUGGUCUUCAGGACAGCACGUGGGCAGUCUUGGACCACUCGCAAUGAUUGAAAAUUGUCUGCUUACAGAAGUGGGUGGGAUUUGAACCUGAGUCCUCCAGGACAUGUGGCAGAAUGCUGAUCACUCAGGCACCACCACAACAGUGGCCCAGACCUGACCGAGGUCAGACGUGUGUCACGGCACUCCGAAAGGAGCAGCCAGGGGCCAGCCUAUUGGCCUCCCCCCUUCCCCUCCAUCCCCCUCUCCCUUUUCAUCAAAACCCAACACCGUAAGAUACUUUUAUGACAUCAUGGUGACAGACAGUGAAUGCAGUGCGUUUGUGGCGCCGUGAAGACACUGAAGAGUAGAAAUGGCCGGUGUGACGUUGACGCGGCCUUACCAUCCAACCGACGCCCCAGGUGCCCCCAGGUACACCAGCCCGACCAUCAUGGUGCUGGGAGAAUUCGGUUCAGGUGCAGUGCAGUGUUGAGGCCCGUCACUCAGGUGGACUCAUGGUUGGGGCAAUCAGCACAACGCUCAACAUACAAGGCAGUGCAGACUAUAUAGAUGUUCCCACGCCUACUGCCGCGCGGUCUACCUCUUCCUAUCUUGUCACACCGGCUGGAUAGAAUAGCAGGUCAUCGCUAAGCCCAUAAGCUGAGUGACGGCCGACACCGUCUCUACCUGCACCCCUGACCCUUUUUGACCUGGGGUUGACCUUGGGCUUACACCUGUCCCGUCAUCCGAAAAACCACACCGCCUCCUACCGCACCAGCGCACUGCAUUCCACCACCUCACCUCCCCCCCACCACCCGACCCCAUAUCCCUUUCAUAUUGUACAUUUUCCUUUUUUCUUUUUUCUUUUAUUUAUAUUUCAAAAGUGUAUUUGUAACGUGUAUAUUUUCUGCUAUCAUUUAAUAAACCGUUUAUUAUUAUUAUUAUUAUUAUUAGACACAUGGGGCUAAUUAUAUUUCAGAUUGGGAAGCUUCAAAUAAGAUCAACUGUAUACCAAUUAUUAAUUUCUAAUCAUUUGGUAAUGUUUGAAUUUAUUCCUUUUUCAUUCCACUCUACGCAAAACUUGCAAAAAGAGGAAGAAACUGCAGGUCACCCUACAGACGGGGUGGGGUACACUCCCUCUCUUCACUCAGACCAGAACACACACAGCUCUGCAGUAACGUGUUCAGCUUUGUGACAGACAAAAGAAAAAAAAUGAAAAUGCAGAAGGCACACUGAACAUGACAGGACAUCCUUAUAUUCAGCACAAGCAGUAUCCCAAGUCCAAGUUCCACAGGCAGCUGAUUACUUUUCAGCCAUGUAAGUUUAUCUUUUGUUGUGCAACACCAUGCAGUAGUUGUAGAAAUUGCAAAGUUGCAAGCAUGACUUCAAAUAUGCAAUACAUACUAAAGAGCAGUUAUAUGAGCAUAGAGAGACCCACAUGCUGUCUAACAAAAGUAAAAAAGUAAUGUGCAUUCACCUAGUUGUGACUGACUGAUCUGACUGACCCCUACUAUCCAUUCACAGCUGGGUGGACAGAGAGCACAGGUUAAAGGAGACUGUCCAUCUGUCUCCACUCUGGCCAGGAAUCAAACUCAGGAACUCAGUUGUGAGGUAAACCUGCUAACCAUUACACUACAGUGUGCAUACGUGUGCAUGUGUCUGUGUGUGUUUAUAUAUCAUGACUGGAUGGCUUAAAAAUCUGGAAAUAUAAAGUCACACACAAUUUCAUAUAAGAAAAACUGAUCCAUGCGUAUCAAAGGGUCCUAAAUGGGAAGCGAGGUUUACAUAAAAUGUUAUUUUUUGGAUAUUUUUUAGGUUAUAUUUUUCUUGUACUUUAAUCUUGUGUCAAAAUUCUUUAUAUCUUAGGUGAAUGGCUGAGUAGUUUCAGUAUCUUAGCCCUCAAGCAUGUUAGUGACCAGACCAUGCUGAGCCCCACUCACAAGUACAUACACAUUUGUGGUGAAACUUUUCUUCACUCAAACUUAUAUAUUGCUUGAUGAGAUGGUUACUAUCACUCAUGAAGCACCUUUUCUCUAUUUUCCAGACUACCUGUAGAGUCCUCUCUGCAGACACUAAAUUUACCUCCCUGAUGAAACAAUAUGCAUGGAAAAAAUACAAUUUUCAAUCAUGCAAAGAUUUUUCUACUCUGCUAUAGCCACUGACAAAGUGGUAUUUAAAGGAUUAAAGAUUCUAUGAAUAUGUGGAUACUGUAAAUAAUAAGACCUUCAGGUAGCAGUGGUAUUAUGGUUUAGUAUAAUUACCUUUGUACAUCAUAUUUACACACAUAAACAUUGAAGAAACUCAUUGUGAUUAGACCAGCUGACUUGUUGGUUGGUCAGUUCAGCCCUACAUUACAGCAGCAGUAAGUCUACAUGAGGGUAGGUAAUACUACGAGCACCAUGUGCCUUGUAGAUCAGGAGUGGAGACUAUUGUAAUGGCUUAGCAAAGUUGUUCAAGACAUAUACUGCCAUGACACACAGUUAAAUAGUCUAUUUCUUUAAUGACAAGAUGCAAAGUUACUAAAACGGUAGAUACUUCUGCAAACUGACAAUCCAACCAUCACCGGGCUGAUGCUGUUUUGAGUCAGUGAAAUAUGAAUUCAAGAUUUGUAUUCAUUCUUUCCCUGCCCACUCACCCACCUACUACAUCAACACUACUAGAAGUCUCACUAUACCUCCUCCUUUAAUCACUCAAGCACUCUUUGAAGGCCCUAUUUGCUGUUACUUCCCAGAUGAUCAAAUACAAGCUUUAUUGGAGGUUAAUUAACCUGUUGAUCUUUUUACUACUGCUGCUGUUCACAAUGCUAUCACCACUGGCCUGUAGCUGUUCUGAGUCAGCAAAAUACUCAAUAAAAACAUGAGUUCACCAUUACAUUGUUCAGUCACCCACCUGCAUGUCAACAUUACUGAGUUUCAUUAUACCUCCUCCUCCCUUGAGUCACCCAAGCACUGCCUCUACCUUCCUGUGACAAGGGAGCAACGUUUCUUGUAGUAGACUGUCUAAGCCAAUUAUCACAAUUAGCAAUAG
Molecule: long non-coding RNA, 4002 nt
Organism: Eriocheir sinensis (Chinese mitten crab)
Lineage: Eukaryota; Metazoa; Arthropoda; Malacostraca; Decapoda; Varunidae
Exons: 2
Source: RefSeq, a predicted model, not a curated record